Molecule: long non-coding RNA, 514 nt
Filed under: Elaeis guineensis (African oil palm)
Lineage: Eukaryota; Viridiplantae; Streptophyta; Magnoliopsida; Arecales; Arecaceae
Description: long non-coding RNA (EGUI_LNC023032)
Source: RNAcentral
AGAAUACAUGAUAUAUUAACAAUUGCUGACCGUGCAACAUAUCUUAUAUAUCUUUUAGAAUUAUAAUUUUAUUGAAAAUUAGUGUUUUUCUGCUCAUGUUAUAAUUAUAUCAUCUCAAAUACUUGUAACAACAAAACACGUGCAAUAUGGGUGCCUACUUACUAGCAUACAUGAAUGUUCACAUCAGAGAGAGUUGAUACCGGCAUAUCUAUUUAAUCAAUAUAUUCUAUUUUUGGCUAUUGUUUUUCUAUAGGGUUUUGUUCACAUGAACUCCAAGAUACCAGUUGUCCUAAAAAUCGAAUGAUGGUGAUUAAGGAUGACUAGGAUUUUGUCUAUACCUCAUCUUGACAAUCCAAUUAAUGGUUAAGAGCAAGCACCAAAUGGACCAGAUUUUGAUGGAAAUAUUGCAGAUAAGAAUUACAUGACCCUUACUGGAUAGGAAAAAUUUUGGCUGUAAUGAAUCACACCAAGUAUGAAGUUGUAGACUAAAAAGGCAGGAUAUGAUAGUGACAUA